Molecule: ribosomal RNA, 459 nt
Filed under: uncultured bacterium
Lineage: Bacteria
Description: partial 16S ribosomal RNA
Rfam family: Bacterial small subunit ribosomal RNA
Source: RNAcentral
CCUACGGGAGGCAGCAGUGAGGAAUAUUUGUCAAUGGCCGGAAGGCUGAACCAGCCAAGCCGCGUGAAGGACGAAGGUUCCAAGCAUUUUAAACUUCUUUUGUCAAGGGACAAAAUCAGGCUCGAGAGCCUGACCGCGGGUACUUGAAUAAAAAGCAUCGGCUAACUCCGUGCCAGCAGCCGCGGUAAUACGGAGGAUGCGAUCGUUAUCCGGAUUUAUUUGGUUUAAAGGUUGCGUAGGCGGACUGUUAAUGCAGCGGUAAAAGCCCGGGGCUCAACCCCGGAGAGCCGUUGAAACUGGCUGUUUUGAGAUGUCGAGAGGUAUGCGGAAUGCGCGGUGUAGCGGUGAAAUGCUUAGAUAUUGCGCAGAACUCCGAUUGCGAAGGCAGCAUACCGGCGGCGAUCUGACGCUGAGGCACGAAAGCGUGGGUAUCGAACAGGAUUAGAUACCCCUGUAGUC